GGUCACUUAGCGCAGUGGAAGCGCAUCUCCCUCCGGAGGAGAAGGCCGUGGGUUCAACCCCCACAGUGACCG
Molecule: transfer RNA, 72 nt
Organism: Entamoeba invadens IP1
Lineage: Eukaryota; Evosea; Mastigamoebida; Endamoebidae
Rfam family: tRNA
About the family: Transfer RNA (tRNA) molecules are approximately 80 nucleotides in length. Their secondary structure includes four short double-helical elements and three loops (D, anti-codon, and T loops).
Source: Rfam